Molecule: ribosomal RNA, 492 nt
Filed under: uncultured bacterium
Lineage: Bacteria
Description: partial 16S ribosomal RNA
Rfam family: Bacterial small subunit ribosomal RNA
Source: RNAcentral
AGUGAACGCUGGCGGUAGGCCUAACACAUGCAAGUCGAACGGCAGCACAGUAAGAGCUUGCUCUUACGGGUGGCGAGUGGCGGACGGGUGAGGAAUACAUCGGAAUCUACUUUUUCGUGGGGGAUAACGUAGGGAAACUUACGCUAAUACCGCAUACGACCUACGGGUGAAAGCAGGGGAUCUUCGGACCUUGCGCGAUUGAAUGAGCCGAUGUCGGAUUAGCUAGUUGGCGGGGUAAAGGCCCACCAAGGCGACGAUCCGUAGCUGGUCUGAGAGGAUGGUCAGCCACACUGGAACUGAGACACGGUCAAGACUCCUACGGGAGGCAGCAGUGGGGAAUAUUGGACAAUGGGCGCAAGCCUGAUCCAGCCAUACCGCGUGGGUGAAGAAGGCCUUCGGGUUGUAAAGCCCUUUUGUUGGGAAAGAAAAGCAGCAGGUUAAUACCCCGCUGCUCUGACGGUACCCAAAGAAUAAGCACCGGCUAACUUCGUG